This 424-nucleotide ribosomal RNA is filed under the name Escherichia coli. RNAcentral describes it as "partial 23S ribosomal RNA". It matches the Rfam family "Bacterial large subunit ribosomal RNA", at positions 2374 to 2797 of the family's 2925-position model. Lineage: Bacteria; Pseudomonadati; Pseudomonadota; Gammaproteobacteria; Enterobacterales; Enterobacteriaceae. The record is from RNAcentral.
UGCGAGCGUGACGGCGCGAGCAGGUGCGAAAGCAGGUCAUAGUGAUCCGGUGGUUCUGAAUGGAAGGGCCAUCGCUCAACGGAUAAAAGGUACUCCGGGGAUAACAGGCUGAUACCGCCCAAGAGUUCAUAUCGACGGCGGUGUUUGGCACCUCGAUGUCGGCUCAUCACAUCCUGGGGCUGAAGUAGGUCCCAAGGGUAUGGCUGUUCGCCAUUUAAAGUGGUACGCGAGCUGGGUUUAGAACGUCGUGAGACAGUUCGGUCCCUAUCUGCCGUGGGCGCUGGAGAACUGAGGGGGGCUGCUCCUAGUACGAGAGGACCGGAGUGGACGCAUCACUGGUGUUCGGGUUGUCAUGCCAAUGGCACUGCCCGGUAGCUAAAUGCGGAAGAGAUAAGUGCUGAAAGCAUCUAAGCACGAAACUUGC